AUUGAACGCUGGCGGCAGGCCUAACACAUGCAAGUCGAACGGUAACAGGAAGAAGCUUGCUUCUUUGCUGACGAGUGGCGGACGGGUGAGACAUGUCUGGGAAACUGCUUGAUGGAGGGGGAUAACUACUGGAAACGGUAGCUAAUACCGCAUAACGUCGCAAGACCAAAGAGGGGUACCUUCGGGCCUCUUGCCCUCGGAUGUGCCCGGAUGGGAUUAGCUAGUAGGUGGGGUAACGGCUCACCUAGGCGACGAUCCGUAGCUGGUCUGAGAGGAUGACCAGCCACACUGGAACUGAGACACGGUCCAGACUCCUACGGGAGGCAGCAGUGGGGAAUAUUGCGCAAUGGGCGCAAGCCUGAUGGAGCCAUGCCGCGUGUGUGAAGAAGGUCUUCGGGUUGUAAAGUACUUUCAUCGGGGAGGAAGAGAGUAAAGAUAAUACAUUCGCGCAUUGACGUUACCCGAUGAAGAAGCACCGGCUAACUACGUG
Molecule: ribosomal RNA, 490 nt
Filed under: uncultured bacterium
Lineage: Bacteria
Description: partial 16S ribosomal RNA
Rfam family: Bacterial small subunit ribosomal RNA
Source: RNAcentral